Molecule: ribosomal RNA, 253 nt
Filed under: uncultured bacterium
Lineage: Bacteria
Description: partial 16S ribosomal RNA
Rfam family: Bacterial small subunit ribosomal RNA
Source: RNAcentral
UACGUAGGGUGCAAGCGUUGUCCGGAAUUAUUGGGCGUAAAGGGCUCGUAGGCGGUCCAUCACGUCGGGAGUGAAAAGCUGGGGCUUAACCCCAGUCCUGCUUCCGAUACGGGUGGACUAGAGGUAGGCAGGGGAGAACGGAAUUCCUGGUGUAGCGGUGAAAUGCGCAGAUAUCGUAAGGAAGACCAGUGGCGAAGGCGGGUCUCUGGACAGUUCCUGACGCUGAGGCACGAAGGUCAGGGGAGCAAACGGG